UGACUGAUAGACUUUCUGUUUUGGCUUAAAUGAAUUGAUAGAUAAGGUUUUCUGGUCUUGAGCCCUUCUAGACACAAAAAAUACACUUGUAGAGCUUCGAUUUGAUAUGUUGCACGCCCUGAAUAGACAUCAUCCAGUCAUCGAAAAAUACCGACAAAGUCUGUCAAUUCUGCAGUAGUUUUUUAGGUUGAUUUGCUGUUUUGACCUACUGCAAUUUUCUGUUUUAACUGGAUCGAGCUGGAAGAUGAUGUUAUUAGGACUUAAUGUCUUCUAGAGAUUUGUAAUAGGCUUCUCAAAAUUUCCAUUGACAUAUUAUAUGUGCGAUUUGGUCAUCAUUUCCCCUGCCUUUCCUUUUUUCAAAUCGAGCUUUGAAAUCUGGAAUUUGUCUUGAACUGCAAUGUUGUCUUUUAUGUGGCUAGUUGUUGUUAGUCUUAAGAUGAGAUAGUAGAUUUGUCCAAAUUGCUUUCAAUAUGUUGUAGAAUGACGGUGUGACAUGCUACUAUGAUCUAUUCUUGAUUGACUUGUUCAUGUUCUUAAUAUUUUUAGAAAUUCAUGCGUUAGGAAUCUUGAGGCGCUUCUUUCAUGGAAUGACAUCCUUUAUCAAUUGUCUACAAAACGGUUUUAGGUACCAUGUGGGUUACACAUUGAUUGCUCUGUUUGCCUUAAAUACAUAUGUUGAGUGAAUUCAAUGGUGCGUGUUUUGGAAUAAGUGAUCUUUAGUUGGUUCAUUCAUUGUUUUGGGUUGAUUGAGGACCAAGGUCAU
RNAcentral lists this long non-coding RNA (763 nucleotides) under Eucalyptus grandis. RNAcentral's name for it is "long non-coding RNA (EGRA_LNC007878)". Lineage: Eukaryota; Viridiplantae; Streptophyta; Magnoliopsida; Myrtales; Myrtaceae. The record is from RNAcentral.